RNAcentral lists this ribosomal RNA (497 nucleotides) under uncultured bacterium. RNAcentral describes it as "partial 16S ribosomal RNA". It matches the Rfam family "Bacterial small subunit ribosomal RNA", at positions 28 to 507 of the family's 1533-position model. The record is from RNAcentral.
GAUGAACGCUGGCGGCGUGCCUAAUACAUGCAAGUCGAGCGAACAGAUGAGGAUCUUGCUCCUCUGACGUUAGCGGCGGACGGGUGAGUAACACGUGGAUAACCUACCUAUAAGACUGGGAUAACUUCGGGAAACCGGAGCUAAUACCGGAUAAUAUAUUGAACCGCAUGGUUCAAUAGAGAAAGACGGUUUUGCUGUCACUUAUAGAUGUAUCCGCGCCGCAUUAGCUAGUUGGUAAGGUAACGGCUUACCAAGGCAACGAUGCGCAGCCGACCUGAGAGGGUGAUCGGUCACACUGGAACUGAGACACGGUCCAGACUCCUACGGGAGGCAGCAGUAGGGAAUCUUCCGCAAUGGGCGAAAGCCUGACGGAGCAACGCCGCGUGAGUGAUGAAGGUCUUCGGAUCGUAAAACUCUUUUAUUAGGGAAGAACAAAUGUGUAAGUAACUAUGCACGUCUUGACGGUACCUAAACAGAAAGCACCGGCUAACUACGUG